RNAcentral lists this ribosomal RNA (496 nucleotides) under uncultured bacterium. RNAcentral's name for it is "partial 16S ribosomal RNA". It matches the Rfam family "Bacterial small subunit ribosomal RNA", at positions 28 to 506 of the family's 1533-position model. The record is from RNAcentral.
GAUGAACGCUGGCGGCGUGCCUAAUACAUGCAAGUCGAGCGAACAGAUGAGGAGCUUGCUCCUCUGACGUUAGCGGCGGACGGGUAAGUAACACGUGGAUAACUUCCCUAUAAGACUGGGAUAACUUCGGAAAACGGGAGCUAAUACCGGAUAAUAAAUUAAACCGCAUGGUUAAAUAGUGAAAGCCGGUUUUCAUGUCAUUUAUCAUUGGAUCACGUCCGAAUUAACUAGUUGGUAAGGUAACGGCUUGCAAAGGCACCGAUGCGUAGCCGACCUGAGGGGGUGCUCAGCCCAACUGGAACUGAGAGGCGACCCAGACACCGCCGUGAGGCAGAAAUAGGAACACUACGGCAAAGGGCGAAAGACUGACGGAGCGACGCCGCGUGAGUGAGGAAGGUCUUCGGAUCGUAAAACUGUGUUAUUAGGGAAGAACAAAUGUGUAAGUAACUAUGCACGUCUGGACGGUACCGACACAGAAAGCCACGGCUAACUACGU